This is a long non-coding RNA of Phyllopteryx taeniolatus (common seadragon), 346 nucleotides long. RefSeq lists it as uncharacterized. The record is from RefSeq and is a predicted model, not a curated record. The transcript has 3 exons. Lineage: Eukaryota; Metazoa; Chordata; Actinopteri; Syngnathiformes; Syngnathidae.
GCGCGAACACAAUGGACGCGGACGAGGGAUUGGCAUACUCGAACUGGAAAUACAGUCACGACUUCAAGUUCCUCUAAAGAGGACAAUACUAAGUAAUCAGCACCACCGCGGCCGUGCACCUGUCAUCAACCAGCCCUCAUCAUCACCUGCAUAAAAGCCUGCCAGAUCCCGGAAACUCUCGCCAAAUGCUCCUUCCGUGUUCCCCGCCGAGUGACUUCUUCCAUCACGUCGCCAAGCCAUCCGCCUGGUCACGCAACCUGCCACAUGUUCCCUGCCUCGACAACCCACCAGUAUGUAUCAUCAGGAUCAUCUCCAAACCCUUUUUCAAUAAACCGUUCAUCACAAA